UGGGGAAUCUUGCGCAAUGGGCGAAAGCCUGACGCAGCAACGCCGCGUGCGGGAUGAAGGCCCUCGGGUUGUAAACCGCUUUCAGUGGGGACGAACCAAGACGGUACCCACAGAAGAAGCCCCGGCCAACUACGUGCCAGCAGCCGCGGUAACACGUAGGGGGCAAGCGUUGUCCGGAUUCAUUGGGCGUAAAGAGCUCGUAGGCGGUUCGAUAAGUCGGGUGUGAAACCUCCAGGCUCAACCUGGAGACGCCACCCGAUACUGUCGUGACUAGAGUCCAGUAGGGGAGCGUGGAAUUCCUGGUGUAGCGGUGAAAUGCGCAGAUAUCAGGAGGAACACCAGCGGCGAAGGCGGCGCUCUGGGCUGGAACUGACGCUGAGGAGCGAAAGCGUGGGGAGCGAACAGG
Molecule: ribosomal RNA, 406 nt
Filed under: uncultured Iamia sp.
Lineage: Bacteria; Bacillati; Actinomycetota; Acidimicrobiia; Acidimicrobiales; Iamiaceae
Description: bacterial SSU rRNA
Rfam family: Bacterial small subunit ribosomal RNA
Source: RNAcentral